AGUGGCAGACGGGUGAGUAACAUGUGGGUAUCUACCCUUUGGCCUGGAAUAACACGAGGAAACUUGUGCUAAUACCGGAUAAGUCUUUACGGAGAAAGCUUUAUGCACCAUUGGAUGAGCCCGCACUUGAUUAGUUUGUUGGUAGGGUAAUGGCCUACCAAGACUAUGAUCAAUAGCUGAUUUGAGAGGAUGAUCAGCCACAUUGGGACUGAGACACGGCCCAAACUCCUACGGGAGGCAGCAGUGGGGAAUCUUGCACAAUGGAGGAAACUCUGAUGCAGCGAUGCUGCGUGAGUGAAGAAGGCCUUUGGGUUGUAAAGCUCUUUCGUCGGGGAAGAAAAUGACUGUACCCGAAUAAGAAGGUCCGGCUAACUUCGUGCCAGCAGCCGCGGUAAUACGAAGGGACCUAGCGUAGUUCGGAAUUACUGGGCUUAAAGAGUUCGUAGGUUGUUGAAAAAGUUGGUGGUGAAAUCCCAGAGCUUAACUCUGGAACUGCCAUCAAAACUUUUCAGCUAGAGUAUGAUAGAGGAAAGCAGAAUUUCUAGUGUAGAGGUGAAAUUCGUAGAUAUUAGAAAGAAUACCAAUUGCGAAGGCAGCUUUCUGGAUCAUUACUGACACUGAGGAACGAAAGCAUGGGUAGCGAAGGGGAUUAGAUACCCUCGUAGUCCAUGCCGA
This 675-nucleotide ribosomal RNA is filed under the name uncultured bacterium. Its description in RNAcentral is "bacterial SSU rRNA". It matches the Rfam family "Bacterial small subunit ribosomal RNA", at positions 94 to 803 of the family's 1533-position model. The record is from RNAcentral.